This 701-nucleotide ribosomal RNA is filed under the name uncultured Staphylococcus sp. RNAcentral's name for it is "bacterial SSU rRNA". It matches the Rfam family "Bacterial small subunit ribosomal RNA", at positions 55 to 738 of the family's 1533-position model. Lineage: Bacteria; Bacillati; Bacillota; Bacilli; Caryophanales; Staphylococcaceae. The record is from RNAcentral.
AUGCAAGUCGAGCGAACGGACGAGAAGCUUGCUUCUCUGAUGUUAGCGGCGGACGGGUGAGUAACACGUGGAUAACCUACCUAUAAGACUGGGAUAACUUCGGGAAACCGGAGCUAAUACCGGAUAAUAUUUUGAACCGCAUGAUUCAAAAGUGAAAGACGGUCUUGCUGUCACUUAUAGAUGGAUCCGCGCUGCAUUAGCUAGUUGGUAAGGUAACGGCUUACCAAGGCAACGAUGCAUAGCCGACCUGAGAGGGUGAUCGGCCACACUGGAACUGAGACACGGUCCAGACUCCUACGGGAGGCAGCAGUAGGGAAUCUUCCGCAAUGGGCGAAAGCCUGACGGAGCAACGCCGCGUGAGUGAUGAAGGUCUUCGGAUCGUAAAACUCUGUUAUUAGGGAAGAACAUAUGUGUAAGUAACUGUGCACAUCUUGACGGUACCUAAUCAGAAAGCCACGGCUAACUACGUGCCAGCAGCCGCGGUAAUACGUAGGUGGCAAGCGUUAUCCGGAAUUAUUGGGCGUAAAGCGCGCGUAGGCGGUUUUUUAAGUCUGAUGUGAAAGCCCACGGCUCAACCGUGGAGGGUCAUUGGAAACUGGAAAACUUGAGUGCAGAAGAGGAAAGUGGAAUUCCAUGUGUAGCGGUGAAAUGCGCAGAGAUAUGGAGGAACACCAGUGGCGAAGGCGACUUUCUGGUCUGUA